GAGGGAGGGUCUAGGUUAGGUUCAGUCUCUGGGGCAGUCAGAGGGGGCUUUACUUUGGGUGGCGGCGGCGGAAACAGAGGGGUUGGUUGGUGUUGGGUGGCCGCUGGAGGAGGGUGAGAGGUAGAGGGAGCGGAGGGGAGAGCAGGAGAACAGAGGGAUGAUCCGGGGUUUAGCUGAGCCGGAAGAGGAAGAGACCGGUGCUGGUCUAGGCGUGGUCGCAAGGGCGUAGCCGCGGCGUCUAGGUCAGGAAAGGGACGUCCUGUAGGGAAGGAGGGUGGGUGGCAGCUGGAGCGGCACGAGGAGUGGGUGGCGGGUGGAACAGGAAGGGAGGGGAGUGGUAGAGAGGGAUGGGAUACGGGGUCUAGCUCAGCUCGUCCAGCCGGCUGCGCGAUCCCAAGGCAGCGAGGCGGGGAUGGCAGCGGCGCUAGCGGGGCCACGAGGGGCGAGGCGGGGGGUGGGCUGGGGGCUCUAGGGCGGUGGCAGUUCCGGUGACCUCUCUAGGCAGCCCCAUCCGUCCGGGUCUGAUCUCCCUGUUGGGCCCCUACAAGCCCUACGCCCGUACGCCGCGUCGCCGCAGCACCCACCACCCCACCUACCCGUGCCUACGCGUGGACAUGCUGCUGGGCCUCCGGCAGCGGUAGGGCCGCGACGAGCUGAGGGUGAAGUUGCAGCUGUUCCAGCUGCGCGAGUUCGCGGAGGAGCGGGAGUAGCGGGUCCCCCAGCUGCAGCGUGUGGAGAAGGGGGUCCACCACUUCUUGUAACACCGUGUCAGCGAGCUCCAGUUCUUAGAGCAGAUGGAGAUGGACGAGGUGGUGUGGCUCUGCUGUUACCUUUAGGAAACAAGCCUCUCGUUUUGGUUCAACUUCACUCACCCUAAAAUCGUACCGACGACAACCGGGAAACAUGGCACGGUCAAGUUCCACAGCCUGACCAAGGACUUGUCCUUCUUCCUGAUGUUCCUGUACUCCAAGAGGGUCCAGCAGAGGUUGCGGUAGCUGUACUUCGAGUCCCUAGUGGAACUCUCCGAGUUCUUCUAGUCCCUCGAGGCGUAGGCUCAGAGCAGGUAGGAGCCGUCGUUCCUCGACCCGGUUCCCUCGUUCGUCGCGACGACCAAUGAACCCCGGUCUAGCUCAUUCUACCGCGUGGUACCGCACACCGCCGGAUAAAACGAAGGUACUCGUCAUGACAAAUAAACUUUACUCUACAUGAGCAGAUCACGGAUCAUUUUUCAUGACGGAUCAUGACAAAUAAAACGAAGGUUCUCGUCAUGGCAAAUAAAACGAAGGUACCGCACACCGCCGGAUAAAACUUACUAACAGUACAUGACACUACAUCACUCGACAUCCUCAUUUUACUCUAUUGUGAACACCUCGAACAAUAGACUAACAUUUGAACUACGACUAGUGUAAACAUACACACAGUAUACUACAUCGUGAAAUUGCCAACUAUUGUAAACUUCAUAAAGUA
Molecule: ribosomal RNA, 1467 nt
Filed under: Triticum aestivum (bread wheat)
Lineage: Eukaryota; Viridiplantae; Streptophyta; Magnoliopsida; Poales; Poaceae
Description: partial small subunit ribosomal RNA
Source: RNAcentral